GAUGAACGCUGGCGGCGUGCCUAAUACAUGCAAGUCGAGCGAACGGACGAGAAGCUUGCUUUUCUGAUGUUAGCGGCGGACGGGUGAGUAACACGUGGAUAACCUACCUAUAAGACUGUGAUAACUUCGGGAAACCGGAGCUAAUAUCGGAUAAUAUUUUGAACCGCAUGGUUCAAAAGUGAAAGACGGUCUUGCUGUCACUUAUAGAUGGAUCCGCGCUGCAUUAGCUAGUUGGUAAGGUAACGGCUUAUCAAGGCAACGAUGCAUAGCCGACCUGAGAGGGUGAUCAGCCACACUGGAACUGAGACACGGUCCAGACUCCUACGGGAGGCAGCAGUAGGGAAUCUUCCGCAAUGGGCGAAAGCCUGACGGAGCAACGCCGCGUGAGUGAUGAAGGUCUUCGGAUCGUAAAACUCUGUUAUUAGGGAAGAACAUAUGUGUAAGUAACUGUGCACAUCUUGACGGUACCUAAUCAGAAAGCCACGGCUAACUACGUG
Molecule: ribosomal RNA, 497 nt
Filed under: uncultured bacterium
Lineage: Bacteria
Description: partial 16S ribosomal RNA
Rfam family: Bacterial small subunit ribosomal RNA
Source: RNAcentral